RNAcentral lists this unclassified non-coding RNA (200 nucleotides) under Podospora sp. RNAcentral describes it as "partial internal transcribed spacer 2". The record is from RNAcentral. Lineage: Eukaryota; Fungi; Ascomycota; Sordariomycetes; Sordariales; Podosporaceae.
UUAAGUUCAGCGGGUAUUCCUACCUGAUCCGAGGUCAACCUUGUAAAAAUUGGGGGUUUUACGGCAGGCGCCCGCGCCACUCCAUAGCGAGGUUAGUUACUACGCUCGGUGUGGACAGCGAGCCCGCCACUGGUUCAGGCCUGCGUCGGACGCAGGUCCCCAACACAAGCCCGGGGCUUGAUGGUUGAAAUGACGCUCGG